RNAcentral lists this transfer RNA (72 nucleotides) under Dipodomys ordii (Ord's kangaroo rat). It matches the Rfam family "tRNA". From Rfam's summary of the family: Transfer RNA (tRNA) molecules are approximately 80 nucleotides in length. Their secondary structure includes four short double-helical elements and three loops (D, anti-codon, and T loops). Further hydrogen bonds mediate the characteristic L-shaped molecular structure. tRNAs have two regions of fundamental functional importance: the anti-codon, which is responsible for specific mRNA codon recognition, and the 3' end, to which the tRNAs corresponding amino acid is attached (by aminoacyl-tRNA synthetases). tRNAs cope with the degeneracy of the genetic code in two manners: having more than one tRNA (with a specific anti-codon) for a particular amino acid; and 'wobble' base-pairing, i.e. permitting non-standard base-pairing at the 3rd anti-codon position. Lineage: Eukaryota; Metazoa; Chordata; Mammalia; Rodentia; Heteromyidae. The record is from Rfam by way of RNAcentral.
GGAGGCAUGGCUCAGUGGAAGAGCAUCUGCCUAGUAAGUGUGAGGCCCUGAGUUCAAUACCCAGUACCACCA